GCAAAAAUCGGAGCCUUCAGUUUGGCCAGUAAGUAUAGUCUGCUCCUGUCAGUGCUACCUACGUAUAUGUGUGUUUUAUGCAUCAAAAUUGGCGUCUUUUAAUUCGUUUGUUGUGAUCAAGUGCCGUUGACCUUUACCUUAAUCGUUCAUCAACUUGGAAACAUUUCAGUCAGCAGAUAUAGGGGAGCUGAAGGGAGUUAUAGCUCAAAAACGUAACCUCAAACAACAAAAGGGGGCAGAGUUUUGGCGGCAAAGGAUAUGACAAAGGUUGGCUGAAAUCCGUCCAGAACUCCGAGAAGCAACAUCGCCGCUACCGACGUUCGUCAGGAGGAAACGAAAAAGCUCAUCAUUGUUUCCCAUGAGUUGACAUCAUGUUUUUAAAGAACAUUCAAUCUGAAUUUUACGACGUGGUGAAUGGAAAACAAUGCCUUAUACUUGUUAACUUUGACGUCGAUGCCAUCUGUGCAUCUAAAAUACUGCAAACCUUGUUCAAAAAUGAUAAUGUUGUGUAUACCCUUGUUCCUGUUCAUGGAGUCAGUGAUAUGAUUAAAGCAUUCAAGGAUAACUCAGAAGAGAUAGAGUAUGUUAUAAUGAUCAACUGUGGUGGAACGCUAGAUAUUGUGGAUAUACUCAAGCCCGAAGAAAAUGUGAUAUUUUUUAUACUUGAUAGUCACAGGCCGUUUGACUUGUGCAAUGUUUAUAAUGAGAAACAAGUACUUAUCAUUGCAGAUGAAGCAGCAGAAGAAGAUAUUCCAAACUACGAAGACGUCUUUAAUGAUGAAUCCUCUGAUGAAGAAGCAGAAGAGGAAGAAAAUGGCUCUGAUGAAGAAAACGAAUCUCGUCAAGCCAAGAAACGACGACUAAUGGAAAAUAAAAUCUUGAAAAAACGAAAUUUGAGAGAAUGGGAGGAAAAGAGAGAUACCAUUAUGUUUAAUUACACACAAUACAGCUAUUAUGGAAAAUCCACUGCCGUUAUCGUUUAUGAAAUGGCGUGGCAAAUGUCAAGAGAUAAUUUAGAUAUGGUGUGGUGGGCAAUCGUUGGGUCCACCGAGCAAGCUAUUUUGAACAAAGUAGAGUCCAGCACAAGUGUAUUAGAAUCCGGUACUUUGCAGGGACAUGUGUCGCGACUAAGUCAUACCAGGGGAGGCGAUGCAGACCGGCAACAGCUGAGUGCUGUUAAGGUUUCAUACGAGAAAGAUCUUCAACUAGCCUUGUAUCGUCAUUGGACUGUAGAAGAUAGUUUAAAGCACUCAAUGAUGACAGCUGUUACCAUGCGCCUUUGGUCUAUCAAAGGAGAUCAGAAAUUAAAAAAACUUUUAGCCGAUAUGGGUCUUCCUCUCAUUCAAGCUAAGCAAAAGUUUUCAGCGAUGGAUCUCAGUUAUAGGAAUGAAUUUAAGGGUAUGUUAGAAAAGUUGGCGGAGAAGUAUAAUUUAGAAAAGGUGGUGUGUGCUAGUUUUUCAAUACACCAUGGAUAUCGUUUUAAAUAUUGUGCUUCCGAUAUUGUUUAUGCAAUGUUAGCCAUAUUAGAGUCGACGUCAAAGGAUAGACCACCUGAAAAAUGCUUUUUAGAAGCCUCCGACUGUCUUGUUCGUACCAACAAAGAUAUUCUCGACAAAGGUAUAGAAAAAGCCAAAACUAUGCUUGUCAGCAUUUUUAAAACCGCUCAAGGCACAUUAGAGCUCAAACAAGUUGUCAACGCCGAAAGGUACACACUUUGCCUUUGGUCGCUUCCUCGAUAAUAAGCGUCGAAAAGGGCACGUGUCUUAUUGUUGGUAUACCGCCUGUGAUUGAAGAGCAACCCAGAAGUUUGUUUGGUCGUGCCUUUGAACAAGCAGCUAAAAACACCAAUGCGUCAAUAGAAGCGGACUAUUUCGACACCACAA
RNAcentral lists this unclassified non-coding RNA (1883 nucleotides) under Copidosoma floridanum. RNAcentral describes it as "cell division control protein 45 homolog, transcript variant X2". Lineage: Eukaryota; Metazoa; Arthropoda; Insecta; Hymenoptera; Encyrtidae. The record is from RNAcentral.